ACGAACGCUGGCGGCGUGCUUAACACAUGCAAGUCGAACGGUGAAGGGGUCUGCUUUUGUGGGCCCUGGAUGAGUGGCGAACGGGUGAGUAACACGUGAGUAACCUGCCCCCUUCUUCUGGAUAACCGCAUGAAAGUGUGGCUAAUACGGGAUAUUCUGGGUCUGUCGCAUGAUGGGUCUGGGAAAGAUUGCGCCUUUGGGUGUUUUUGGUGGGGGAUGGGCUCGCGGCCUAUCAGCUUGUUGGUGGGGUGAUGGCCUACCAAGGCGGUGACGGGUAGCCGGCCUGAGAGGGUGGACGGUCACACUGGGACUGAGACACGGCCCAGACUCCUACGGGAGGCAGCAGUGGGGAAUAUUGCACAAUGGGCGCAAGCCUGAUGCAGCGACGCCGCGUGAGGGAUGGAGGCCUUCGGGUUGUAAACCUCUUUCGCCAGUGAAGCAGGCCUGCUCCUUGUGGGUGGGUUGACGGUAGCUGGAUAAGAAGCGCCGGCUAGCUACGUG
This 501-nucleotide ribosomal RNA is filed under the name uncultured bacterium. Its description in RNAcentral is "partial 16S ribosomal RNA". It matches the Rfam family "Bacterial small subunit ribosomal RNA", at positions 29 to 507 of the family's 1533-position model. The record is from RNAcentral.